CGCGUAGGCGGCCCGCUAAGUCGAACGUGAAAUCCCCGGGCUCAACCCGGGAACUGCGUCCGAGACUGGCAGGCUCGAAUCCGGGAGAGGGAUGUGGAAUUCCAGGUGUAGCGGUGAAAUGCGUAGAUAUCUGGAGGAACACCGGUGGCGAAGGCGCCACUCUGGGCCGGUACUGACGCUGAGGAGCGAAAGCGUGGGUAGCAAACAG
RNAcentral lists this ribosomal RNA (208 nucleotides) under uncultured bacterium. RNAcentral's name for it is "partial 16S ribosomal RNA". It matches the Rfam family "Bacterial small subunit ribosomal RNA", at positions 568 to 775 of the family's 1533-position model. The record is from RNAcentral.